GGAGGCAUUGUCGAACCUGCGAGGCAGACCGUGAACACGUGUUAAAAAACGCCGCCGGUCGCCGCGGGGCGGCGGGGGCCCGUCCCUCCCGCUCCGUCGGCCCCGGCCCCCGCACGGCGCGCGCUCGAGCGCGUCGGGCGGGCUAACGAACUCCCGGCGCGGAACGCGCCAAGGAAAACCGAAAACGGAGCGCCCCGUCCCGCCCCCACCCGCCCCGUCCGCGGAGCGCGGCGCGGGGGUGGGCGGGGCGCCUCGAGCUCAUAAGAUGUCAAAACGACUCUCGGCAACGGAUAUCUCGGCUCUCGCAUCGAUGAAGAACGCAGCGAAAUGCGAUACUUGGUGUGAAUUGCAGAAUCCCGUGAACCAUCGAGUCUUUGAACGCAAGUUGCGCCCGAAGCCAUCCGGCCGAGGGCACGUCUGCCUGGGCGUCACGCAUCGCGUCGCCCCCCUCCCUCCGGGGCGGGGGGGCGGACAUUGGCCUCCCGUGCGCUCCCGCGCGCGGCCGGCCCAAAUGGGAUCCCCCGGCGACGCGCGUCGCGACCAGUGGUGGUUGAACGCUCAGCUCCCUUGCUGUCCGUCGCGCCCCGCGCCGUCGUCCGGACGGGCAUCACGAACGACCCUCAGCGCGCCCCCGGGCGCCUCCGACCGCGACCCCAGGUCAGGCGGGAUCACCCG
RNAcentral lists this ribosomal RNA (675 nucleotides) under Blepharis espinosa. Its description in RNAcentral is "eukaryotic LSU rRNA". The stretch from base 276 to 431 matches the Rfam family "5.8S ribosomal RNA". Lineage: Eukaryota; Viridiplantae; Streptophyta; Magnoliopsida; Lamiales; Acanthaceae. The record is from RNAcentral.